RNAcentral lists this ribosomal RNA (492 nucleotides) under uncultured bacterium. Its description in RNAcentral is "partial 16S ribosomal RNA". It matches the Rfam family "Bacterial small subunit ribosomal RNA", at positions 29 to 507 of the family's 1533-position model. The record is from RNAcentral.
AGUGAACGCUGGCGGUAGGCCUAACACAUGCAAGUCGAACGGCAGCACAGUAAGAGCUUGCUCUUACGGGUGGCGAGUGGCGGACGGGUGAGGAAUACAUCGGAAUCUACUUUUUCGUGGGGGAUAACGUAGGGAAACUUACGCUAAUACCGCAUACGACCUACGGGUUAAAGCAGUGGAGCUUCGGACCUUGCGCGAUUGAAUGAGCCGAUGUCGGAUUAGCUAGUUGGCUGGGUAAAGGCCCACCAAGGCGACGAUCCGUAGCUGGUCUGAGAGGAUGAUCAGCCACACUGGAACUGAGACACGGUCCAGACUCCUACGGGAGGCAGCAGUGGGGAAUAUUGGACAAUGGGCGCAAGCCUGAUCCAGCCAUACCGCGUGGGUGAAGAAGGCCUUCGGGUUGUAAAGCCCUUUUGUUGGGAAAGAAAAGCAGCAGGUUAAUACCCCGCUGUUCUGACGGUACCCAAAGAAUAAGCACCGGCUAACUUCGUG